RNAcentral lists this ribosomal RNA (380 nucleotides) under uncultured archaeon. RNAcentral's name for it is "bacterial SSU rRNA". It matches the Rfam family "Archaeal small subunit ribosomal RNA", at positions 471 to 851 of the family's 1478-position model. The record is from RNAcentral.
UAAUACCUGCAGCCCGAGUGGUGAUCGUUAUUAUUGGGUCUAAAACGUCCGUAGCUGGUCUGGUAAAUUCCUGGGUAAAUCGAACUGCCUAACAGUUCGAAUUCUGGGGAGACUGUCAGACUUGGGACCGGGAGGAGUCAGAAGUACUUUCGGGGUAGGAGUAAAAUCCUGUAAUCCUGAAAGGACUAUCAGUGGCGAAGGCGUCUGACCAGAACGGAUCCGACAGUAAGGGACGAAGCCCUGGGGCGCAAACGGGAUUAGAUACCCCGGUAGUCCAGGGUGUAAACGCUGUAGGCUUGGUGUUGGGGGUUCUAUGAGGAUACCCAGUGCCGGAGAGAAGUUGUUAAGCCUACUACCUGGGGAGUACGGUCGCAAGACUG